CUGCAGCUCAAGUGGUGACCACUAUUAUUGGGCCUAAAACGUUCGUAGCCGGUUUGGUAAAUGCCUGGGUAAAUCGUGUAGCUUAACUAUACGAAUUCCGGGUAGACUGCCAAACUUGAGACCGGGAGAAGCUAGAGGUACUCCUGGGGUAGAGGUGAAAUUCUGUAAUCCUGGGGGGACCACCAGUGGCGAAGGCGUCUAGCUAGAACGGGUCUGACGGUGAGGAACGAAGCCCCGGGGCGCAAACCGGAUUAGAUACCCGAGUAGUCC
This 270-nucleotide ribosomal RNA is filed under the name uncultured archaeon. Its description in RNAcentral is "partial 16S ribosomal RNA". It matches the Rfam family "Archaeal small subunit ribosomal RNA", at positions 477 to 747 of the family's 1478-position model. The record is from RNAcentral.